GAUGAACGCUGGCGGCGUGCCUAAUACAUGCAAGUCGAGCGAACAGACGAGGAGCUUGCUCCUCUGACGUUAGCGGCGGACGGGUGAGUAACACGUGGAUAACCUACCUAUAAGACUGGGAUAACUUCGGGAAACCGGAGCUAAUACCGGAUAACAUGUUGAACCGCAUGGUUCAACAGUGAAAGACGGUUUUGCUGUCACUUAUAGAUGGAUCCGCGCCGCAUUAGCUAGUUGGUAAGGUAACGGCUUACCAAGGCAACGAUGCGUAGCCGACCUGAGAGGGUGAUCGGCCACACUGGAACUGAGACACGGUCCAGACUCCUACGGGAGGCAGCAGUAGGGAAUCUUCCGCAAUGGGCGAAAGCCUGACGGAGCAACGCCGCGUGAGUGAAGAAGGUCUUCGGAUCGUAAAACUCUGUUAUUAGGGAAGAACAAAUGUGUAAGUAACUAUGCACGUCUUGACGGUACCUAAUUAGAAAGCCACGGCUAACUACGUG
This 497-nucleotide ribosomal RNA is filed under the name uncultured bacterium. RNAcentral's name for it is "partial 16S ribosomal RNA". It matches the Rfam family "Bacterial small subunit ribosomal RNA", at positions 28 to 507 of the family's 1533-position model. The record is from RNAcentral.